This 208-nucleotide long non-coding RNA is filed under the name Homo sapiens (human). RNAcentral's name for it is "long intergenic non-protein coding RNA 511". Lineage: Eukaryota; Metazoa; Chordata; Mammalia; Primates; Hominidae. The record is from RNAcentral.
GACAUUGUGAUGGUGUGGGUGGGGAGGAGGAGGCUGUCAGUGUGGUCUAGGGGAGUGUCCCCAGUCAGCACGGAGACAGGUAUUUUUCCCUCUCCACCCUGGUCUUCUCCUGUAACGUGUGGCCGCCUUUUCCAGCACGGCCUCCUGCCUUCCUGGUGCACUUUUUGGAGAACGUGGUGGAAUCAGAGGUUUCUGGCUGACUCGGUGG